CAUGAGCUCACAUGGGAAGCAGAUCAUGCAAGCGGUCACGCUUAUCCUGGAGGGAGAACACAGCAUAGAGGUCAAAGAGCAGACAUUAUGCAUAUUGGCCAACAUUGCUGACGGAAACACUGCCAAGGAACCCAUUAUGACCAAUGACUACAUGCUCCAAAAAAUUUAAUAUUACAUGGGUCACUCCAAUGUGAAGCUGCAGCUGGCUGCCACCUUCUGCAUCUCUAACCUCAUCUGGAAUGAGGAGGACGGUGAGGAGCUCAGGACACGUGGGUUCUGUGGAGGUGUAGUGGGACAGUUUAACUGUUGUGCUCUCAGUUUGUCCAAACAUGCACAAAAGCAUUUACAGUAAAAGCGUCAUUAGUGUUGUCAAAUCAGUAUUAAAAUAUUAAUCAUGAAUCAUUUGUGUUUUAUUACAUAUGUUUAAAAUGUCUAUUUAAGUUUUCUGUUUGAUUUAAGGCA
Long non-coding RNA from Carassius carassius (crucian carp), 462 nucleotides. RefSeq lists it as uncharacterized. The record is from RefSeq and is a predicted model, not a curated record. Lineage: Eukaryota; Metazoa; Chordata; Actinopteri; Cypriniformes; Cyprinidae. The transcript has 3 exons.